Molecule: ribosomal RNA, 848 nt
Filed under: uncultured bacterium
Lineage: Bacteria
Description: bacterial SSU rRNA
Rfam family: Bacterial small subunit ribosomal RNA
Source: RNAcentral
CAAGUCGAACGAUGAAGCUGGAGCUUGCUCCGGUGGAUUAGUGGCGAACGGGUGAGUAACACGUGAGCAAUCUGCCCUUGACUCUGGGAUAACUGCGGGAAACUGUAGCUAAUACCGGAUACGAGGCUCGAAGGCAUCUUCGGGUCUGGAAAGAAUUUCGGUCAAGGAUGAGCUCGCGGCCUAUCAGCUUGUUGGUGAGGUAAUGGCUCACCAAGGCGACGACGGGUAGCCGGCCUGAGAGGGUGACCGGCCACACUGGGACUGAGACACGGCCCAGACUCCUACGGGAGGCAGCAGUGGGGAAUAUUGCACAAUGGGCGCAAGCCUGAUGCAGCAACGCCGCGUGAGGGAUGAAGGCCUUCGGGUUGUAAACCUCUUUUAGCAGGGAAGAAGCGAAAGUGACGGUACCUGCAGAAAAAGCACCGGCUAACUACGUGCCAGCAGCCGCGGUAAUACGUAGGGUGCAAGCGUUGUCCGGAAUUAUUGGGCGUAAAGAGCUCGUAGGCGGUUUGUCGCGUCUGCUGUGAAAACCUGAGGCUCAACCUCAGACCUGCAGUGGGUACGGGCAAGCUAGAGUGCGGUAGGGGAGAUGGGAAUUCCUGGUGUAGCGGUGGAAUGCGCAGAUAUCAGGAGGAACACCGAUGGCGAAGGCACAUCUCUGGGCCGUAACUGACGCUGAGGAGCGAAAGCGUGGGGAGCGAACAGGAUUAGAUACCCUGGUAGUCCACGCCGUAAACGGUGGGUGCUAGUUGUGGGUCACAUUCCACGUGAUCCGUGACGAAGUUAACACAUUAAGCACCCCGCCUGGGGAGUACGGUCGCAAGACUAAAACUCAAAGGAAUUGACGG